UUUAUAUAGUAUAAAAAUUAUUCUCGACUUCCAAUCAAGAGAUCUGAAUACUCAGUAUAAAUAAU
Molecule: transfer RNA, 65 nt
Filed under: Limnichidae sp. MJTNT-2012
Lineage: Eukaryota; Metazoa; Arthropoda; Insecta; Coleoptera; Limnichidae
Description: tRNA-Gly
Source: RNAcentral